CAAGACGUAGCUAUAACAAAAGCAUUCAGCUUACACCUGAAAGAUGUCUGUCAACUCCCAGAUCGUCUUGA
RNAcentral lists this transfer RNA (71 nucleotides) under Sula nebouxii. RNAcentral describes it as "tRNA-Val". Lineage: Eukaryota; Metazoa; Chordata; Aves; Suliformes; Sulidae. The record is from RNAcentral.